GAUGAACGCUGGCGGCGUGCCUAAUACAUGCAAGUCGAGCGAACAGAUGAGGAGCUUGCUCCUCUGACGUUAGCGGCGGACGGGUGAGUAACACGUGGAUAACCUACCUAUAAGACUGGGAUAACUUCGGGAAACCGGAGCUAAUACCGGAUAAUAUAUCGAACCGCAUGGUUCAAUAGUGAAAGACGGUUUUGCUGUCACUUAUAGAUGGAUCCGCGCCGCAUUAGCUAGUUGGUAAGGUAACGGCUUACCAAGGCAACGAUGCGUAGCCGACCUGAGAGGGUGAUCAGCCACACUGGAACUGAGACACGGUCCAGACUCCUACGGGAGGCAGCAGUAGGGAAUCUUCCGCAAUGGGCGAAAGCCUGACGGAGCAACGCCGCGUGAGUGAUGAAGGUCUUCGGAUCGUAAAACUCUGUUAUUAGGGAAGAACAAAUGUGUAAGUAACUAUGCACGUCUUGACGGUACCUAAUCAGAAAGCCACGGCUAACUACGUG
This 497-nucleotide ribosomal RNA is filed under the name uncultured bacterium. RNAcentral describes it as "partial 16S ribosomal RNA". It matches the Rfam family "Bacterial small subunit ribosomal RNA", at positions 28 to 507 of the family's 1533-position model. The record is from RNAcentral.